This 496-nucleotide ribosomal RNA is filed under the name uncultured bacterium. RNAcentral's name for it is "partial 16S ribosomal RNA". It matches the Rfam family "Bacterial small subunit ribosomal RNA", at positions 28 to 507 of the family's 1533-position model. The record is from RNAcentral.
GAUGAACGCUGGCGGCGUGCCUAAUACAUGCAAGUCGAGCGAACAGGCGAGGAGCUUGCUCCUCUGACGUUAGCGGCGGACGGGUGAGUAACACGUGGAUAACCUACCUAUAAGACUGGGAUAACUUCGGGAAACCGGAGCUAAUACCGGAUAAUAUAUUGAACCGCAUGGUUCAAUAGUGAAAGACGGUUUUGCUGUCACUUAUAGAUGGAUCCGCGCCGCAUUAGCUAGUUGGUAAGGUAACGGCUUACCAAGGCAACGAUGCGUAGCCGACCUGAGAGGGUGAUCGGCCACACUGGAACUGAGACACGGUCCAGACUCCUACGGGAGGCAGCAGUAGGGAAUCUUCCGCAAUGGGCGAAAGCCUGACGGAGCAACGCCGCGUGAGUGAUGAAGGUCUUCGGAUCGUAAAACUCUGUUAUUAGGGAAGAACAAUGUGUAAGUAACUAUGCACGUCUUGACGGUACCUAAUCAGAAAGCCACGGCUAACUACGUG